RNAcentral lists this ribosomal RNA (441 nucleotides) under Deltochilum gibbosum sublaeve. RNAcentral describes it as "partial 16S ribosomal RNA". The record is from RNAcentral. Lineage: Eukaryota; Metazoa; Arthropoda; Insecta; Coleoptera; Scarabaeidae.
CAUGUCUUUUUGAUUAUAAUUUAAAGUCUAACCUGCCCAAUGAUUAUUUGAAUGGCUGCGGUAUUUUGACCGUACUAAGGUAGCAUAAUAAUUAGUUUUUUAAUUGAAAGCUGGUAUGAAUGGUUGGACGAGAAAAUGACUGUCUCAAUUUAAUUUAAUUAGAAUUUUAUUUUUAAGUAAAAAAGCUUAAAUAAUUUUAAAAGACGAGAAGACCCUAUAGAGUUUUAUAUUUUAUGAUUAUUGAUAAUUUUAAGUAUUUAAUAUUUAUUUAAUUAUAAAAUAUUUUGUUGGGGUGACAAAAAAAUUAGAAGAACUUUUUUUAUAUAAGUACAUUGAUUUAUGAAUAAAUGAUCCAUAUAUUAUGAUUAAAAGAUUAAAUUACCUUAGGGAUAACAGCGUAAUUUUUCUUGAGAGUUCUUAUCGAAAAAAAAGUUUGCGACC